This 1260-nucleotide unclassified non-coding RNA is filed under the name Rhizobium gallicum. RNAcentral's name for it is "partial contains 16S ribosomal RNA, 16S-23S ribosomal RNA intergenic spacer, and 23S ribosomal RNA". The stretch from base 1129 to 1260 matches the Rfam family "Bacterial large subunit ribosomal RNA", at positions 1 to 131 of the family's 2925-position model. The record is from RNAcentral. Lineage: Bacteria; Pseudomonadati; Pseudomonadota; Alphaproteobacteria; Hyphomicrobiales; Rhizobiaceae.
UGCGGCAUCACCUCCUUUCUAAGGAAGCUGUGGAACAGGAAGACGGCAUCUUCGGAUGCAUGACCUUUCCCGUGCUUUUUAGAACAUAGAUGGCACCAGUCAGGUGACCAUCGAAACGCAAUACGCCGCGUCGACUUCGGUCACGACGGUAUGGCGAGCUUUCGCCGUCCACGUUUCUCUUUCUUCAAGAAGAUAUCGAACCAUUGAGUGCGCUCACGCGCUGUUUGCACCUUCGGUGCUGCGCUCCGCUGGGGCGCCGGACGGCCGGCGACGGACUAUCGUCCUGUUGAUCAGGAUGAAAGCGAUGGGCCCGUAGCUCAGUUGGUUAGAGCACACGCUUGAUAAGCGUGGGGUCGGUAGUUCAAGUCUACCCGGGCCCACCAUUUGCUUUUGCAGUUUGGUUUGCUCCUGGUUUAACUGAUCCUGGGUUUAACUGAUCCUGGCGGUUUGCUGUCAGGUGUUUGCGAUGGUUGGGGCUGUAGCUCAGCUGGGAGAGCACCUGCUUUGCAAGCAGGGGGUCAGCGGUUCGAUCCCGCUCAGCUCCACCAAUUCGCUUUGGUGUUGAACUGAGGGAUUUGAGAUAUCUUCUGAAGAAAAACAAAGUUUGCAUCGUUUAUGACGAUGCCUGUUCUGCAUAUAUCGUGAAGAGAAGAUUGAUCUGGAGGCUUCCAGGUGUUUUGGGUUUAGGCCCAGGGCGUCCGAAGCCGGUUCCAAUGAUGUCGUUGAUGGUCUAGCCGACCGGAAACGAAAGAGGAGCCGGAUGUAGGAAGGAAGCUUGUCCCGAGGCAUUGUUGUUGUUUGAAGGCUUUGGCUUUCAUCUGACCGACGGUGCUGGAUUGGCGUUGCCUGACCGCGCGCCACCGGAUUUGAUCUCGAGAAGCUGGUCUUAAGACAGACUGCAAGUGAGCUGCUCGGCGUAGCUCCAAUAAAGCAGAUCUGUCGAACACGUCGAUGGCAUCAUUAGAAAGCGUGAUUGUAAAAGGUAAUCACGCAUUGUUGGUCUUCGGAUUUGAUUGCGGCAACUGAGAAGUUGUCCGGAUGGUCAGAUUUGGCAGCCCGCGAGAGCGCAAGCCGAGCGGAUAAGGUUUGCCAAAUCCAACAAAGAUGAUGAGCAUUGGCAAUGAGAACGAUUAAGUGUCGUAAGGGCAUUUGGUGGAUGCCUUGGCAUGCACAGGCGAUGAAGGACGUGAUACGCUGCGAUAAGCCGUGGGGAGCUGCGAAUGAGCUUUGAUCCAUGGAUCUCCGAAUGGGGAAACCCGG